CGGGUUAAGUCCCAUAACGAGCGCAACCCUUACCGUUAGUUACCAUCAGGUUAAGCUGGGGACUCUAGCGGGACUGCCACGUAAGGUGAGAGAAGUGGGGAUGACGUCAAAUCAGCACGGCCCUUAUGUCCAGGGCUACACACGUGUUACAAUGGCCAGUACAAAGGGCAGCUACCGGGUGACCGGAUGCUAAUCUCUAAAGCUGGUCUCAGUUCGGAUCGAAGUCUGCAACCCGACUUCGUGAAGCUGGAUUCGCUAGUAAUCGCGCAUCAGCCAUGGCCGCGGUCGAAUACGUUCCCGGGCCUU
This 306-nucleotide ribosomal RNA is filed under the name uncultured Sphingobacteriales bacterium. Its description in RNAcentral is "bacterial SSU rRNA". It matches the Rfam family "Bacterial small subunit ribosomal RNA", at positions 1076 to 1382 of the family's 1533-position model. The record is from RNAcentral. Lineage: Bacteria; Pseudomonadati; Bacteroidota; Sphingobacteriia; Sphingobacteriales.